UUCGCUGAUUCGGGAUAAAAGGAGAAAUCCGCUUUGAGAUGGACCCGCGGCGCAUCUAGCUAGUCUGGUAGGGUAGAAGCCUACCAAGGCAACGAUGCGUAGCCGACCUGAGAGGGUGAUCGGCCACUCUGGAACUGAGAUACGGUCCAGACUCCUACGGGAGGCAGCAGUGGGGAAUAUUGCACAAUGGGCGAAAGCCUGAUGCAGCAACGCCGCGUGAGUGAUGAAGGUCUUCGGAUUGUAAAGCUCUGUCUUCUGGGACGAUAAUGACGGUACCAGAGGAGGAAGCCACGGCUAACUACGUGCCAGCAGCCGCGGUAAUACGUAGGUGGCGAGCGUUGUCCGGAUUUACUGGGCGUAAAGGGUGCGUAGGCGGAUGUUUAAGUGAGAUGUGAAAUACCCGGGCUUAACCUGGGUGCUGCAUUUCAAACUGGAUAUCUGGAGUGCAGGAGAGGAGAACGGAAUUCCUAGUGUAGCGGUGAACUGC
RNAcentral lists this ribosomal RNA (487 nucleotides) under uncultured Clostridium sp. RNAcentral's name for it is "bacterial SSU rRNA". It matches the Rfam family "Bacterial small subunit ribosomal RNA", at positions 186 to 689 of the family's 1533-position model. Lineage: Bacteria; Bacillati; Bacillota; Clostridia; Eubacteriales; Clostridiaceae. The record is from RNAcentral.